This 975-nucleotide unclassified non-coding RNA is filed under the name Rhodotorula mucilaginosa. RNAcentral describes it as "sequence contains ITS1, 5.8S rRNA gene and ITS2". The stretch from base 157 to 311 matches the Rfam family "5.8S ribosomal RNA". Lineage: Eukaryota; Fungi; Basidiomycota; Microbotryomycetes; Sporidiobolales; Sporidiobolaceae. The record is from RNAcentral.
GCAUCAUGAUUAGGACGUCCACUUAACUUGGAGUCCGAACUCUCACUUUCUAACCCUGUGCACUUGUUUGGGAUAGUAACUCUCGCAAGAGAGCGAACUCCUAUUCACUUAUAAACACAAAGUCUAUGAAUAGUAUUAAAUUUUAUAACAAAAUAAAACUUUCAACAACGGAUCUCUUAGGCUCUCGCAUCGAUGAAGAACGCAGCGAAAUGCGAUAAGUAAUGUGAAUUGCAGAAUUCAGUGAAUCAUCGAAUCUUUGAACGCACCUUGCGCUCCAUGGUAUUCCGUGGAGCAUGCCUGUUUGAGUGUCAUGAAUACUUCAACCCUCCUCUUUCUUAAUGAUUGAAGAGGUGUUUGGUUUCUGAGCGCUGCUGGCCUUUACGGUCUAGCUCGUUCGUAAUGCAUUAGCAUCCGCAAUCGAACUUCGGAUUGACUUGGCGUAAUAGACUAUUCGCUGAGGAAUUCUAGUCUUCGGAUUAGAGCCGGGUUGGGUUAAAGGAAGCUUCUAAUCAGAAUGUCUACAUUUUAAGAUUAGAUCUCAAAUCAGGUAGGACUACCCGCUGAACUUAAGCAUAUCAAAGGAGGGGGAGAAAGACGUCCAACUUAACUUGGAGUCCGAACUCUCACUUUCUAACCAUGUGCCUUGUAAGCCUGUGCAAUUGUCUGGGAUAAGAGCACUCGCAUGAGAGCGAACUCCUAUUCACUUAUAAACACAAAGUCUAUGAAUGUAUUAAAUUUUAUAACAAAAUAAAACUUUCAACAACGGAUCUCUCUGGCUCUCGCCUCGAUGAAGAACGCAGCGAAAUGCGAGGAGUAAUGAGAAUUGCGGAGAUCGUGGAAUCAUCAUAUCUUUUUUCGCCCCCGCGAUCCCUGGCGUACGUGCAGCGUGCGUGUGUGAGUGUGAUGUACUACAUCAACACAUCUCGUCCUCUUCUGUAUUGAUGAAAAAGGAGUAGAGAGGCGGGUGCGCGGCGC